This 504-nucleotide ribosomal RNA is filed under the name uncultured bacterium. Its description in RNAcentral is "bacterial SSU rRNA". It matches the Rfam family "Bacterial small subunit ribosomal RNA", at positions 40 to 518 of the family's 1533-position model. The record is from RNAcentral.
CGGCGUGCCUAAUACAUGCAAGUCGAACGGUCUUUCUAUGGAAGCUGCUUCCACUGAGAAGAUAGUGGCGAACGGGUGAGUAACACGUGGGUAACCUGCCCAUAAGAGGGGGAUAACAUCCGGAAACGGGUGCUAAUACCGCAUAGUUUUCUUGAUCGCAUGAUCGGGAAAGGAAAGACGGCCUUUGUGCUGUCGCUUAUGGAUGGACCCGCGGCGUAUUAGUUAGUUGGUGAGGUAACGGCUCACCAAGACGAUGAUACGUAGCCGACCUGAGAGGGUGAUCGGCCACAUUGGGACUGAGACACGGCCCAAACUCCUACGGGAGGCAGCAGUAGGGAAUCUUCCGCAAUGGACGAAAGUCUGACGGAGCAACGCCGCGUGAGUGAAAGAAGGUUUUCGGAUCGUAAAACUCUGUUGUCAGAGAAGAACAAGUUGGAGAGUAACUGCUCCAGCCUUGACGGUAUCUGACCAGAAAGCCACGGCUAACUACGUGCCAGCCGCCGC